CCUACGGGUGGCCGCAGUGAGGAAUAUUUGUCAAUGGGCGGGAGCCUGCACCAGCCAAGCCGCGUGCAGGAAGCAGGCGCCAGGCGUCGUACACUUCUUUUGUCGGGGAACAACGGGCGCCACGCGUGGCGUUGUGAGUGUACCCGACGAAAAAGCAUCGGCUAACUCCGUGCCAGCAGCCGCGGUAAUAGGGAGGAUGCGAGCGUGAUCCGGAUUUAUUGGGUUUAAAGGGUGCGUAGGCGGAGCGUUAAGUCAGUGGUCAAAUUGAGGGGCUCAACCCCUUCCCACCAUUGAAACUGGCGCUCUUUAGUGUAAGAGAAGUAUGCGGAAUGCGUGGGGUAGCGGUGAAAUGCAUAGAUAUCACGCAGAACCCCGAUUGCGAAGGCAGCAUGCCGGCUUCCGACUGACGCUGAAGCACGAAAGCGUGGGGAUCGAACAGGAUUAGAUACCCCAGUAGUC
RNAcentral lists this ribosomal RNA (459 nucleotides) under uncultured bacterium. RNAcentral describes it as "partial 16S ribosomal RNA". It matches the Rfam family "Bacterial small subunit ribosomal RNA", at positions 338 to 795 of the family's 1533-position model. The record is from RNAcentral.